GGUACUCGUUAAGGCUGAGCUGUGAUGGGGAGAAGACAUUGUGUCUUCGAGUCGUUGAUUUCACACUGCCGAGAAAAGCCUCUAGAUAGAAAAUAGGUGCCCGUACCGCAAACCGACACAGGUAGUCAAGAUGAGAAUUCUAAGGUGAGCGAGCGAACUCUCGUUAAGGAACUCGGCAAAAUGACCCCGUAACUUCGGGAGAAGGGGUGCUCUUUAGGGUUAACGCCCAGAAGAGCCGCAGUGAAUAGGCCCAAGCGACUGUUUAUCAAAAACACAGGUCUCUGCUAAACCGUAAGGUGAUGUAUAGGGGCUGACGCCUGCCCGGUGCUGGAAGGUUAAGAGGAGUGGUUAGCUUCUGCGAAGCUACGAAUCGAAGCCCCAGUAAACGGCGGCCGUAACUAUAACGGUCCUAAGGUAGCGAAAUUCCUUGUCGGGUAAGUUCCGACCCGCACGAAAGGCGUAACGAUUUGGGCACUGUCUCAACGAGAGACUCGGUGAAAUCAUAGUACCUGUGAAGAUGCAGGUUACCCGCGACAGGACGGAAAGACCCCGUGGAGCUUUACUGUAGCCUGAUAUUGAAAUUCGGCACAGCUUGUACAGGAUAGGUAGGAGCCUUUGAAACGUGAGCGCUAGCUUACGUGGAGGCGCUGGUGGGAUACUACCCUAGCUGUGUUGGCUUUCUAACCCGCACCACUUAUCGUGGUGGGAGACAGUGUCAGGCGGGCAGUUUGACUGGGGCGGUCGCCUCCUAAAAGGUAACGGAGGCGCUCAAAGGUUCCCUCAGAAUGGUUGGAAAUCAUUCAUAGAGUGUAAAGGCAUAAGGGAGCUUGACUGCGAGACCUACAAGUCGAGCAGGGUCGAAAGACGGACUUAGUGAUCCGGUGGUUCCGCAUGGAAGGGCCAUCGCUCAACGGAUAAAAGCUACCCCGGGGAUAACAGGCUUAUCUCCCCCAAGAGUUCACAUCGACGGGGAGGUUUGGCACCUCGAUGUCGGCUCAUCGCAUCCUGGGGCUGUAGUCGGUCCCAAGGGUUGGGCUGUUCGCCCAUUAAAGCGGUACGCGAGCUGGGUUCAGAACGUCGUGAGACAGUUCGGUCCCUAUCCGUCGUGGGCGUAGGAAAUUUGAGAGGAGCUGUCCUUAGUACGAGAGGACCGGGAUGGACAUACCUCUGGUGUACCAGUUGUCGUGCCAACGGCAUAGCUGGGUAGCUAUGUGUGGACGGGAUAAGUGCUGAAAGCAUCUAAGCAUGAAGCCCCCCUCAAGAUGAGAUUUCCCAACUUCGGUUAUAAGAUCCCUCAAAGAUGAUGAGGUUAAUAGGUUCGAGGUGGAAGCAUGGUGACAUGUGGAGCUGACGAAUACUAAUCGAUCGAAGACUUAAUCAAAA
RNAcentral lists this ribosomal RNA (1383 nucleotides) under Staphylococcus aureus. RNAcentral describes it as "partial 23S ribosomal RNA". It matches the Rfam family "Bacterial large subunit ribosomal RNA", at positions 1542 to 2925 of the family's 2925-position model. Lineage: Bacteria; Bacillati; Bacillota; Bacilli; Caryophanales; Staphylococcaceae. The record is from RNAcentral.